This is a ribosomal RNA of Bos indicus x Bos taurus (hybrid cattle), 120 nucleotides long. NCBI's taxonomy places the organism in Eukaryota, Metazoa, Chordata, Mammalia, Artiodactyla, Bovidae. The record is from Ensembl.
GUCUCAGGCCGUAUCAGCCUGAAGGCGCCCGAUCUCGUCUGAUCUCGGAAGCUAAGCAGGGUCGGGCCUGGUUAGUACCUUGGAUGGGAGACCACCUGGGAAUCCCGGGUGCUCGAGGCU